RNA transcript from Mandrillus leucophaeus (drill), 695 nucleotides. RefSeq lists it as uncharacterized. The transcript has a single exon. Lineage: Eukaryota; Metazoa; Chordata; Mammalia; Primates; Cercopithecidae. The record is from RefSeq and is a predicted model, not a curated record.
CAGAGCCCUCCAGGCAGGACCACUGAGCAAGGCCCUUGGAAAAUCGGAAAGAUUGGAGCGGUGAGUCGCGCUGGUCACGUUGGACACCUGCGCGUUGGGAGAUUCUGGUGCCAGAAGGACAGCCGAAUGGCCUUCUCCCGCCCUGCCCCUCGCCUGCUUCAGAAACCCCCAGAAACGCCCCUGUUGCGACCCCGGCCCGACCCGCCUGGGGGCCCAAGGGAAGCUGAACGCCCCGUGGCUCCCCGGAUGGCUCUUCCCGUUCUUUGUGCCACCUUCACCCAGUGAGGGAGCCUGUGCCCACCCCGCCCAGUCGCUUUUGGGGCCCCUUCGGAGCUGCCGCUGCCAUCUUCGGAUCCUGUGUCCCGCAUGGGGGCUCCACCAGGGCAGGGAUGGUGGCGAGGGUCGCUCGUGGGUCCCCUCCCGGGGAGCAGGGUCUGGCACUCACCAGGCCGCCGGACUAGGACUUGCCGAAUGAAUCCAUCGUCGCCUUUAGUUUUUAGUCCUUUGAAGAGCCUUCAGAAUGGAAAUCAUGAGAGAUUUUUCCAUGGAGAAGUUCUUUUUACAAAGCAUUUAUUUAGUUGACUUCUCAGCACCCCGCGGGGCUGCAACGGGCAGGGCCUCCAGUGCACUUUCUGCGCAGUGGAGCCGCCGGGACUCAGCUGGGCGGUGGUCGGGUCUUGAGGCCUGAGGGCGGG